RNAcentral lists this transfer RNA (76 nucleotides) under Bacteroidaceae bacterium. RNAcentral's name for it is "tRNA-Ile". It matches the Rfam family "tRNA". Rfam says of the family: Transfer RNA (tRNA) molecules are approximately 80 nucleotides in length. Their secondary structure includes four short double-helical elements and three loops (D, anti-codon, and T loops). Lineage: Bacteria; Pseudomonadati; Bacteroidota; Bacteroidia; Bacteroidales; Bacteroidaceae. The record is from RNAcentral.
GUGCCAUUAACUCAACAGGUAGAGUCUCCAGCUCAUAACUGGAUAGUCCAAGGUUCGACUCCUUGAUGGCGCACCA